RNAcentral lists this microRNA precursor (63 nucleotides) under Drosophila melanogaster (fruit fly). RNAcentral's name for it is "Dme-Mir-252-P1b_pre stem-loop". The record is from RNAcentral. Lineage: Eukaryota; Metazoa; Arthropoda; Insecta; Diptera; Drosophilidae.
UUAAGUAGUGGAUACAAAGGGCGAUUUGAUAUAAAAGUGUCGCAUUGUAUGACCUACUUAACU